GGAUUUUAGGAAAAACAAAUCGUUGGGCGUUGGCACAGGCUGCUCAGGGAGCUGCUAGAAGCACCACGACUGGAGAUGUUCAGGGAACGUAGAGGUGCUGUGAAGCUGCAAUCAGACUGUGCUGUGGUAAAGAAGAGAAAGCAGCAGCUGUGUUCUGACGUUGGCCUUGUACUUCACUAUGGGAUCUUAGUCAAGGCCUCCUUUCAUGAGUAACUGAGCUGUGUUACAGCCGUGCGAACCCAGGGGCAGUGUGAGGACCCAGCCUUGUGUGCACAUCUGGUGCUGCUUUACUCACGUUCUCCCACUCAGAAAGUCUGAUGAUAAAGACCUUAGGAAAGGAGUACAUCUCAGUGCUAGAGAAACCGGCCUGGAUUCUGUUAAUGAAACAUUUUCUCUGCGAGACAAGACGACUCGGUGAUCCUUGUUUAUAGCAACUAUACUUUUAAGAAUGGAAGUGUGGGGAGUAAGGCCAUCACUUUGCAAGACACAUUUUUAUGGAGUUGAUCCAAGAUCCCGGGGAUCAAGUCUUCAGUUGAGGCAGCACGGGAGACAGAUACUUGAUCUCCCCUCACCUGUGAUGUGCUGCAGCCUGCUACCUGGCAAGGAAUGUCUACAGGAAUAAAACUUACAGAAUUAUGUUAUGGGUAGGCUUCUGAAAUUUCAAGACAAUCUACUUUCAUGGCUGCAAUUCCUAUCUCCUCAAAUAAAGCCAGGCUGAAUGACAUUUAACUGCCUUCAUAAAGCUCAGAACUUCGCGUGAUUUGGUAAGUGGAAUUAUUACAUUGUCUUGUCUCAGUUUGUGUAUAGUUUUUGUGAAAGCUAAAGGCUCAUACUUUCUCUGCACCUCCUCCUCUACAAACUAUUUCUGAGUGUGGCCCUUUGGAAUCUGAAAGUUGUACUUAUUCACUUAGUAAUAACGGUAAUAGUGCCAAUAACAAUAGGAAGUCCACAGGAGUUCUGAGAUGAUCCAAAAAUAGUUGGGUUACAGCAACAAGGAACAUCAUUUGAGCUUAAAAAAAACCAAAAAGCAAUCAACAACAAAAAACAACAAAGUUCUAGUUCAGUUUGUUCUGGAAUGUUACAAGAGGCAGUGUGCUUCCUGCAAGUGUAACUAACAUUAUUUCUAGUAAUCAGUGCUUUGUCUGUAAGAGAAAACCUGUUUGAGAGACUCUGUACGAAUGAAAAAAAGGUCAGUGGGCUGACUGUAGCUGAGAGGAGCAAAGUGUCAGUGCUGGAACAGUAUGGUAACAUGACUUGAGUAGCCUAAGCCAGCUGCAGUCCAUGGCCCUCUUGUACAUCUGAGACAGUGGGUACAUUUCUUGAAGCUUUAAGUAAUUGUUAUCACGAGCCAAAAAAAACCCCAACAGGUUGAGCACCUU
This is a long non-coding RNA of Centrocercus urophasianus (Greater sage-grouse), 1379 nucleotides long. RefSeq lists it as uncharacterized. The record is from RefSeq and is a predicted model, not a curated record. NCBI's taxonomy places the organism in Eukaryota, Metazoa, Chordata, Aves, Galliformes, Phasianidae. The transcript has 7 exons.